Molecule: long non-coding RNA, 268 nt
Filed under: Carica papaya (papaya)
Lineage: Eukaryota; Viridiplantae; Streptophyta; Magnoliopsida; Brassicales; Caricaceae
Description: long non-coding RNA (CPAP_LNC000468)
Source: RNAcentral
CCCAUUAUUUUACAGAUAGGUCGUUCGAUGUUACGCACGACUGGAACUAUGAUCCGCUGGUUUAUUCACAAAUGUGAGUCAUUGUGUCGAUGCAUUUUAUUUAAUAUUAGAACGAGAAGGAGAUGUGCAAUAUACACGCACAAGGAAACAAAUGACAGGAGGUGGGAGGGAAUGAGAAGGAGUGUAUGUAUUUGCAGCGCGGAAUGAAACAUGUGCGAUCAUACCAGCACUAAUUCAUCGGAUCCCAUCAGAACUCCACAUUUAAGUC